ACGAUGUUCUGAGCGGCUUGUUAACAUGCGAUAAGGCUCUCGAAGAUCUUUGGUUACAAGAUCAUCAAUCAGAGUCCCUAUAAAACUACUUUCUCUCUCAAGAACAAUAAGUUGCUUUCCAUCUGAGUGUCUAGCAGCAUUAAUUCCAGAUAUGAUCCCCUGGGCAGCAGCUUCUUCAUAGCCUGUUGUCCCAUUUAUCUGGCCAGAAAAGAAAAGGCCCUCGAUUUUUUUAGUCAUUAGGGAUCUGGAGCACUGAUAAGCAGGCAAGUAAUCA
This 274-nucleotide unclassified non-coding RNA is filed under the name Hevea brasiliensis (rubber tree). Lineage: Eukaryota; Viridiplantae; Streptophyta; Magnoliopsida; Malpighiales; Euphorbiaceae. The record is from RNAcentral.